This 104-nucleotide ribosomal RNA is filed under the name Alternaria sp. ZC-2014. RNAcentral describes it as "partial 28S ribosomal RNA". The record is from RNAcentral. Lineage: Eukaryota; Fungi; Ascomycota; Dothideomycetes; Pleosporales; Pleosporaceae.
UGGUUUCGGAGCGCAGCACAAGUCGCGCUCUUUUCCAGCCAAGGUCAGCGUCCACCAAGCCACAUUUUCAACUUUUGACCUCGGAUCAGGUAGGGAUACCCGCU